CCUGCAGCGUAGAGUGAAAGUUGGUUGGUGGAAAUCGAUUAAAAAGUAAGAAAGAAGACGGCGACGCUGCAGGGCAGCGGCGGAAGCCAUCGUGGUGGUCGUCGGCGGGAAGUGAGGUUUUCUGAGGAAGUAAUCGAGCACUCGACCCCGAAGACUACGCCGAGCCCGUACGGCUUUUCUAUGUCGGGAAGACGGCUUACCAGAAAGGCUGCGAAAGAUGAAAAAGAGGCGGCGGCGGCGGCUGCAGCAGAAGAAAAGGAAGAAGAACGUAGCAUGGGGUUCCAACCGGAAUUGCUGGCCGAGAAGGAAGCAAGGACCGAGCAGCAGCAGCCCAGAGAGGAGCUACUAGCUGGAUCUUUCAAAGAAGAAUGUUCCUCAAGUGAAGCCAAAAACAGAGUGUCCAACAAAAAAUGUAAUGGCAAAAUGCAAAUACAGACAGAAAAUACUAACAUUGAAAUGUCGGGUGUCAUUCUCACUCGACCGCCUAUUAGGACUUCAAGAGAAGGUAAUCCUCCUUCCCUGCCUGUAACUCCUGAGCUCAAGAGAACUUUGAGAGGUAAGCAAAGAAAAGGUUCUAGGGCCUGGUGGGAUGGGAAGCAAGCCUAAAGCCUGUAGGAACACAGUGGGAAGGGGAGCGGGCCCAGGAGUUGCGGGGAUCCUGCACGGCAGGGGAAGUGAAGCACAAAGGGUGGCGAAAGCCUGGAGCAGAGGCUCCUCAUGCCCUGCUUAAUGACUUGCACAGUCAUUUAACAACAGCAUCAGGGAGAGCAGGGACUGGAGGUUGUUAAGCAGGUUCCGUUAUGGUCAUUGGUCAAGGACUACCUCUGCAGCCCAUGUAAUAGUAGAUGCGGAAAUAAUGCAUCUCCCAGCAACUCUCAAUGUAUAUUUUAUGAGAUUGAAAUCAGGUGACUUUGCAGUCACUUAUUGAUAACAAACUGAUAACAAAGGUUGCUAAUUUGCCUUUGAUGCAUAUUGGUGGGCUGUAGGAGACAGACAGAUAGCGGAAUCUCUGGUUUUAUUUGUGCAUGCCUGGAUUAUGUCAAUAGUCUCUUUGACAACUAUUCCCAAUUCCUUUCUCUGUUCCCUGAUCUUAGUGCUGUUUUGGGCCUGCCAGUCAAUAUUCGUGUCUCACAGUACACUUUUUUUUACGAACUCCCUUUUUAAGACAGAAGCAGCUAAAACUAUUGGUGCUUGUAUUUAAAGUUAUCCACUUCAAAUAUCUAUUUGUCCUUAUUUCUCUUUACAAUCCUGUUCACUCUUUAGGUUUCUUUGAGUAGAGCUUUCUUUCUGUUUGUUGUUCCAAGAAUACAAUCUUCAUGUUGUGUUCUUAAAGGAAUGAGAUCCUUAAAGCUGGAAGAACUUUAAAAAGGGCUUAAAUACCUGAAUAUUCAACUACAGUAGUAGGAUAUUGUAGGGUAUGGUUAGUCAUCCUACUGUCAUUAAUCUUGGCAAUUCCUAGACUUGCUUUUUUACU
RNAcentral lists this long non-coding RNA (1474 nucleotides) under Naja naja (Indian cobra). RNAcentral describes it as "lncRNA (ENSNNAG00000016167.1)". The record is from RNAcentral. Lineage: Eukaryota; Metazoa; Chordata; Lepidosauria; Squamata; Elapidae.